RNAcentral lists this unclassified non-coding RNA (378 nucleotides) under uncultured Actinomycetes bacterium. RNAcentral's name for it is "uncultured actinobacterium contains 16S-23S intergenic spacer region". The record is from RNAcentral. Lineage: Bacteria; Bacillati; Actinomycetota; Actinomycetes.
UCUCUGCUUGCGCAGGCAGUCUUCUUAGAGUCCUCACCAUUACGUGUUAGCAACUAAGAAUAGGGGUUGCGCUCGAUGCGGGACUUAACCCAACAUCUCACGACACGAGCUGACGACAGCCAUGCAGCACCUGUGCUAGCCCCUUACGGACACGGGCUUUCACCCGCUUUAACUAGCAUGUCAAACCCAGGUAAGGUUCUUCGCGUUGCAUCGAAUUAAGCCACAUGCUCCGCCGCUUGUGCGGGUCCCCGUCAAUUCCUUUGAGUUUUAGCCUUGCGGCCGUACUCCCCAGGCGGAGUGCUUAAUGCGUUAGCUGCGGCACAGAGAGGGUUGAAGACCUCCCCACACCUAGCACUCAACGUUUACGGCUGGGACUAC